RNAcentral lists this unclassified non-coding RNA (259 nucleotides) under uncultured fungus. RNAcentral describes it as "sequence contains ITS1". Lineage: Eukaryota; Fungi. The record is from RNAcentral.
UUAACGAUUUACUUUUCGUAUACUGACAGAAAUUUACAGAAGUGGUUUCAGUGAGCCUCGGACGGGCUGACAGCACGAAGCAUGCCGCCGAAGCAACAGGAGGUUCACAAUGGUUUGAAGUGACGGGUACCCGAAAGAUCUCACAAGGAGACCAGACCGGCAUCACGUACGUUUAGAGCCCAAGAGGCUGGUCCACCCGGACUUUCAUCCAGGGUGAAGGAUAUUUUUAAUGAUCCUUCCGCAGGUUCACCUACGGAAA